RNAcentral lists this ribosomal RNA (253 nucleotides) under uncultured bacterium. RNAcentral's name for it is "partial 16S ribosomal RNA". It matches the Rfam family "Bacterial small subunit ribosomal RNA", at positions 524 to 776 of the family's 1533-position model. The record is from RNAcentral.
UACAGAGGUCCCGAGCGUUGUUCGGAUUCAUUGGGCGUAAAGGGUGCGUAGGCGGCUUUCUAAGUUUGAUGUGAAAUCCUGGGGCUCAACCCUGGAACUGCAUUGAAUACUGGGAGGCUAGAGAACUGGAGAGGAGACUGGAAUUUACGGUGUAGCAGUGAAAUGCGUAGAGAUCGUAAGGAAGACCAGUGGCGAAGGCGGGUCUCUGGGCCGAUACUGACGCUGAGGAGCGAAAGCGUGGGGAGCGAACAGG